Molecule: ribosomal RNA, 439 nt
Filed under: uncultured bacterium
Lineage: Bacteria
Description: partial 16S ribosomal RNA
Rfam family: Bacterial small subunit ribosomal RNA
Source: RNAcentral
CCUACGGGGGGCAGCAGUGGGGAAUAUUGCACAAUGGGGGAAACCCUGAUGCAGCGACGCCGCGUGAGUGAAGAAGUAAUUCGUUAUGUAAAGCUCUAUCAGCAGGGAAGAAAAUGACGGUACCUGAGUACGAAGCCCCGGCUAACUACGUGCCAGCAGCCGCGGUAAUACGGAGGAUGCGAGCGUUAUCCGGAUUCAUUGGGUUUAACGGGUGCGCAGGCGGGCCUUUAAGCCGGCGGUGAAAUCGCGGGGCUCAACCCCGCCGAGCCGUCGGAACUGGGGGCCUUGAGUGCGGCGGAGGCAUGCGGAAUGCGCGGUGUAGCGGUGAAAUGCAUAGAUAUCGCGCAGAACCCCGAUUGCGAAGGCAGCGUGCCGUGCCGCCACUGACGCUGAGGCACGAAAGCAUGGGGAUCAAACAGGAUUAGAUACCCGAGUAGUC